AUGAAUGGCUUUCUCCUUGUUCAUUGCAGCGUCGGAAUGGGGAACAUUCUGAAUCUCGUGCUUGGAAUGAUUACUACACUGGAACGCCACGUCGGGAAGCGACACCGCCAAGGCAGAAUAGCAGAUGAAGCAUUCGAACCGUGCCGCGUUAUGGUUCUCAGGGCUAUAUCAUACCAGGCUGGAUGUAAGGCAGUCCAUCAAAAGAGGAUUGCAGACGGCCGAUUCGAACUAUUGAGCAUUCUGAUUUGCAGAGCAAUGUCACUGCACAUUCGUCUCGGAUCGGUCUGUGACAAGGGGAUGCAAAAUGAUCAACUUAGACUGUGCUGCAGUGUUCUGGCUUGUGGAGUUAUAUCUGACUACAUCAUCUGUCACGAGUUAUUAAACUCUGAAAAGGGGAUAUCAAGUGAUCCGUUCGAGAGCCUUCCAGAGGACGUGCUAUGCACGUUAUCAAAGUUGCCUCUGGAUGAGGCUGUAAGGACCAGUGCGGUAUCAAGGAAGUGGAGAUUCUUGUGGACAGUUUGUCCAAACCUGAGUUUUGAAGGAAUUACAAUGUGCGGCAAGAACCGUGCUUCUGGGGAAAAGCUAUAUGUUCAGAAGUUCAUCGAUAAUGUUAAUGCUGUCUUGGCACAGUGCCGUGGCCGGGUUGUUGACGAGCUUGCGAUCGAAUUUGAUUUUGACACCAUGCUGGUUGACCAUCUCAAUAACUGGGCUCGCUUUGUGGUAUCCUCAUCACAGAUAAAGUUCCUAACUUUUGAUUUGGCACCAGAACGUUUUGGAGGCCUUUAUGAUCGGUACUUGUUUCCGUUCCAACUUUUGGACAGUGGAAGUAUAUCCCGUCUACAGAAAAUCCAUCUUAGCUUUGGGUAUCUCCGGCCACCAACCGGGUUCAGUGGUUUCCCUAACCUACGGAAGCUUGAUCUGAACUUAGUGAAUGUCGGCGGAAAAGAUCUUCAAGACAUGUUGUCAAAUUGCUCUAACCUGGAGUGGUUAAGUAUUGUUAGAUGUCAUCUCUAUGAUGAACUAGAGGUUAAUGGUCCGCUGCCUCGCCUGCUACACUUGCAUUUUUCAUUCUGCGAGAUAACGAAGAUUGCAUUGCAUGCUGUGAAACUCAGAAAUUUUGUAUACAAGGGGAAGCCGGUAUGUAUCGACCUUGGUAAAUCUUAA
RNAcentral lists this ribosomal RNA (1164 nucleotides) under Triticum aestivum (bread wheat). Its description in RNAcentral is "partial small subunit ribosomal RNA". Lineage: Eukaryota; Viridiplantae; Streptophyta; Magnoliopsida; Poales; Poaceae. The record is from RNAcentral.